This 426-nucleotide ribosomal RNA is filed under the name uncultured bacterium. Its description in RNAcentral is "bacterial SSU rRNA". It matches the Rfam family "Bacterial small subunit ribosomal RNA", at positions 354 to 796 of the family's 1533-position model. The record is from RNAcentral.
GUGAGGAAUUUUCGUCAAUGGGGGCAACCCUGAACGAGCAACGCCGCGUGCAGGAAGAAGGUCUUCGGAUCGUAAACUGCUUUUCUCUGGGACGAGUAAGGACGGUACCAGAGGAAUCAGCCUCGGCUAACUACGUGCCAGCAGCCGCGGUAAUACGUAGGAGGCAAGCGUUGUCCGGAGUUACUGGGCGUAAAGCGCACGCAGGCGGUCUGCUGCAUCUGGCGGGACAGGGUCCGGCUUAACCGGGUCAGGCCGACAGAGAUGAGCAGACUUGAGGGCUUCAGAGGGAUGGGGAAUUCCGGGUGGAGUGGUGAAAUGCGUAGAGAUCCGGAAGAACACCAAAGGCGUAGGCACCAUCCUGGGAAGCUACUGACGCUCAGGUGCGAAAGCCAGGGGAGCGAACGGGAUUAGAUACCCCGGUAGUCC